AUUUAAAAAAAUUGUGUGCUUUUAUUUUGGAAAUAAAAGUACUUGAUUUUGAUACUUUAAUUAAAGUAUUUCUUUACUAAACAUGUAAGUUUUUAUGUGUAUUUUGCUUUUAUUAAAUAUAAAAGUAAACUAAACUUAGUUUUCAGUUUUAAAAAUUAUUAAUUUUUAAUUUUAAAUAUAGUAAUUGAAAGAUUAAUACUUACAAAUUUUAGUGCCAGCAGUUGCGGUUAUUCUAAUAGUAUAAUUUUAAUUUUAUUGGUUAGGUAUUAUUAUUGAAUAAAAUUUGUUUUAAAGUUAAUAUUUUAGGUGAAAUUUAAUAUUAACAUAAGAUAAUGGUUUAUUAAAUAUUAAAUUAAUGAUUAAACUAGGAUUAGAUACCCUAUUAUAAUUUUUGUAAAUUUUAUAACCUUAAUAUUACUAGUUAUGUUCUAUAAAGUAAAAAAAUUUGGCGGUAAUUAUUAAUUGUUUAGAGGAACCUGUUGUUUAAAUUGAUAAACCACGAGUAUAUGUUACCUUAAUUAUUUCUUAUAUACCUCUAUCAUUGAAUGUUUUUUAAGAAUUUAUUUUCUCUAAUUAUUUAAAUACAAAAUGUUAGGUCAAGGUUUAGUUUAUUAAGGCAUUAAAUGGGUUACAUUAAUUUUAAUUAUGGAUUUAAAAAUUUAAGUUUUUAAUAAAAUUGGAUUUAAUUGUAAAAGUAAUUAUAUAAUUACUUUGGAAAUUAUUAUGGUUAUGUACAUAUCGCCCGUCAUUCUCAUAUAAUGGGACAAGUCGUAACAAAGUAGGAUUACUGGAAAGUGACCCUGGUUAGUU
RNAcentral lists this non-coding RNA (810 nucleotides) under Perissonemia borneenis. Lineage: Eukaryota; Metazoa; Arthropoda; Insecta; Hemiptera; Tingidae. The record is from RNAcentral.